ACUGUAAGAAGUGCCAUGCAGGCGCUGAAUUUCAUUCUGGUUACGGCUUAGGCAAUAUUUAUGCUUUCUUAGUUCUAAAUGUUUUUUUUACUAACUCUUGCCUUGGUUACACUGUGAAAAUAAAUGUGUUGACAUUUUUGUGACUGUUUUCAAUAGACUGAAAUUUGUGUGAGAUCACUCAUGUAUGAAAAUUAAGAGCAUUAGAAAGGGGGUGAGUAAAAUAGAUCUAUCCUUUGUACAGGUGGGCAGGCCAGAUUCUGGAAGGUUGCUGUGCUUAGUAUGGACUUGCUCAUUAUCUCCCCAUGGGAGAAAAGACAAACCAGGAAGUAUUUUUAAAAUGAACGUUACAAUUUGUUUGCAGGUCUUGCUAGCUAUCAUCUCUUAUAAAGCAUUUGUAAGUGCUUAGAGAUCUAAAAUUACUUUUACCAAAGCUAUAGAGAAUUCAGCAAAAAUGUUUAGCUAAAAUACAGAGGAAUUAGAAAAUACAAAGCAAUCUCAGAUUUGGUAAAUGAUGCUUACCAAUGUAUGUUUCACUUAAAAAUUGAUGUACUUUUUUGAAGCAGGAACAUUUUCUGAAGAGCUAACUAAUGCCAGACUGGAAUGUUUCAUCCUCAGUCAAACAAAAUAUGCACUGGAAUUUAACUUUGGCUCAAACCUGAUUGAUGACAACACAUUUUCUGACGUGUUUUGUGAAAACUCCAAGAAACUUAUCAAUGUACACUUAUUUGCCCUGGCUGCCAAGCAUUAUUCUUUGCCUAACCUUGGAGUGUGUACCCCAUUAGAAGAGAUACUUGAAGCGCUGAGAGGAGACAGCCAAGGAGCAAGCGUUCUCUGGGGCCCUCAUUGCCCCACUGGGUUGCUCGUGUUGAGCACAAGGAUCCAGAAGACCUGGCCCAAGAGGAGCAAGCUAGUAAGGACAAUUUCUCUUUUAUACCUGACAUAAGGAGAGAGGCUUGCUAAAAUAUUGAAAUAAUAGUACUUUCUACCUUUUCAGCGUGUUUAUGCCCUAUGUAAUAGUCAUGCAAUUGUUAAUAAAUCUAUCUUUAAAUUGCAUGGACUGUCUCAAUGAUUUUUCACAUAUGGUCAUCCUAAUCCCUGCUAGUCUUGGCUGAUGAAAUUAAAUUGCAGUACUGUAACUUCUGUAUAGAUAGUGUUGUAAAUUAUGAAUGGACUGAAAAUUUGUUUUUAAUCUGGUAUAUCUGAAUUUCCACAGGUAGCAAGGGUAUAAAAGAUCUGGAAGAUCUGCAUUAGGCAGAUCAUAUAUGAAAUGCAGUCUCUCCUCAUUUUGUCUAGGUCAGAACUAAACAUGUGGGUACAAAUAGCACUGUAGAGUUAAAGCAGUUUUUCAAUUGGAAAAUGUCUACUUACGCUAGGGUUCACAAAGUAAGCAAGCAACAUUUCAGUACUACUUAGACAUUAAGUGCUCCUUUACUCUAUAAUAUCCAGAAUACUUCUGUGAAGUAUUGGAGCCUCGCUUUCUUCUUAGGCCACGGAAGGAUGUUUUGGGCAUCUAAACCAGACCUCAAAGAGAUGGUUUUUUUUCCUAUUAGAUUGACAUAUGUUUGCUUGUUUGUCAAAAUAAUGUAAAAACAGACAAACACAAAGCUGUCGCAAUCAACAUUUAGCAGAAAACCCAGCAAAAAUAAAACUAAUAAAAAUAAUCUUCUGCAAGCAGUGUAAUUUUCCAUGUGCUGAAAUCUAGGCAGUUUUCAUUCUGCGAAAUGUAGGUCUAAAAAUAAUUUAGAAACUUUAGUAACUAAGGUGAUAAAUAUAUGUGUAGGUGUGAGCACACUAUUUUUUUUUACCUGGAACCUCAGUUCCUUUAAGUUGGGUCUUGUUUCAGGGUUUGCCCCUGGUGUUUGAAAUACUUUGGCUUAAGUACUGUUUGAAAUUCUACUGCAGAGUAUUACCAUGUCAGUCAUUUGAUCUUGUAUUAUAGCAAAGGAUGGAAGGUGUGAUAUGUGAUGACGGUUCAGAGUAAAGGUGCUGCUUUGGAGACCAGACAAACAAAUCUUUUAUUUCUAUAAAAAUAUUUAAUAUCUGAGUCUUCAUUUUCUCUCCUG
Molecule: long non-coding RNA, 2063 nt
Filed under: Meleagris gallopavo (turkey)
Lineage: Eukaryota; Metazoa; Chordata; Aves; Galliformes; Phasianidae
Description: lncRNA (ENSMGAG00000017673.1)
Source: RNAcentral